Molecule: long non-coding RNA, 1462 nt
Organism: Oncorhynchus tshawytscha (Chinook salmon)
Lineage: Eukaryota; Metazoa; Chordata; Actinopteri; Salmoniformes; Salmonidae
Source: Ensembl
UCUGUGGUGUGUAGUGAUAUGUAGUGUUUGAUUGUGUCAUCAGGGAAUAGAUGAUUGGCCUCAGCUGUAAACAAUACAACAACCAAAUCAUACUGUCUUGCAUUGUAUUUCUCCAUUUAUUUCCAACAGACUGCUGCUUAACCUACGGCUCAGUGAGUCAAACUUCUCUGACGUAUGUGUGUGUAUGUGUGUUGGAUUCCUCAUUAACCGAAGGUCAGAAAUGAUUAAGGCUUCAGGUCACCGUUCCAACCUGAAGUCAGGGGUUAACAGGGUGGUGAGUGCAGGGCCAAUAGAGAGAUGUCGCUGAAUUCAAUUUGCAUGGCAGAGAAAGCCAAGAGCAAUUAACUCUUAACGCAAGCACUGACACACACACACACACACACACACACACACACGAACGUGCCCGGAUACACCUACACAGACAGACGCACGCAAACAUGAGAGAGAGAAAGAGAGAGAGAGAGAGAGAGAGAGGAGAAAGAGACAGAUAGAGAGACAGAGAGACACAGAGACAGAGUAGAGAGAGAGAGAGAGAGAGAGAGAGAGAGAGAGAAAGAGACAGAUAGAGAGACAGAGAGACACAGAGACAGAGAGAGAGAGAGAGAGAGAGAGAGGAGAAAGAGACAGAUAGAGAGACACAGAGACAGAAUAGACACAGAGAGAGAGAGAGAGAGAGAGAGAGAGAGAGAGCCUGGGAGCAGUUACCCAUCAAUGCAAAAUGACAGAAUGGAAGAGCAGGGAGAGUUUGACGUCCGUACAGGUCCCAAGAACGGCGGAAGAGUAACGAAGCUGAGGAGAGAGAGACUGUGUGUUUCAGAGUGUGAGUGCUUCUGUUUGUGUAUGUGGCGUGUUUGUGUUAGUGUGUUUCUGUUUGCAUAAUGUUCUGUGUGUGUGUGUGUGUGUGUGUGUGUGUGUGUGUGUGUGUGUGUAGUGGCGGUCAGAGGUCCAUUAGGUCGGUGCAGUUCAGCGGCUCUCGGUUGUUGGGGGAAACGAAUGCUGGUGGGGUUGAUCUUUGAGCUCAGCUGCACACUAGAACAUUCUGGAAGCCUGACCCGUGAAGACCUGAUGCGCCAGUCAACACCGCGCAAAACGAUCUCUGCCCGCCGUGUGUGUCCUCACUGGAGCACAACACCACAGCCUGGUUGUUUGUGUGAGUGGGUGUUUGACCCAUGAAGAGGUGAUGUGGGAGAGUCACUGUAUGCAAAUCCACCACGGCUGGCUAUGAUGUUCCUCUUAUUUACAUCUCCAUCUCUUUCCAGAAUGUUCAGCCAUUUUGAAUGCGCCCCUGGUUGGUUCCCUUGUCAGUCUGUAACAGUAUGGAUUUGUGUGUAAUGAGCAGUCCUGUCAGCGUGGGGGAUAAUGCCCAGAUUUGAGUUGAAAACAGAAUGUGAUGUGUCUAAUAAUAAUCCUAUUUCAUAUAUCUGUGUUCCACACCGCAGGUGGCCCAGUCUGAACAAGACUG